UUGAGUGUUACGCCGGAAUGAACGGAAGUCAUUGAUGUUGACUAAUAUGGGAAUCAUCUCUAAUACUAAA
This 70-nucleotide transfer RNA is filed under the name Cymbium olla (pot-bellied volute). RNAcentral's name for it is "tRNA-Ile". The record is from RNAcentral. Lineage: Eukaryota; Metazoa; Mollusca; Gastropoda; Neogastropoda; Volutidae.